This 519-nucleotide ribosomal RNA is filed under the name uncultured Vagococcus sp. Its description in RNAcentral is "bacterial SSU rRNA". It matches the Rfam family "Bacterial small subunit ribosomal RNA", at positions 28 to 516 of the family's 1533-position model. The record is from RNAcentral. Lineage: Bacteria; Bacillati; Bacillota; Bacilli; Lactobacillales; Enterococcaceae.
GACGAACGCUGGCGGCGUGCCUAAUACAUGCAAGUCGAACGCUUCUUUUUCACCGAGUGCUUGCACUCACCGAGAAAAGAGGAGUGGCGGACGGGUGAGUAACACGUGGGUAACCUGCCCAUUAGAGGGGGAUAACACUUGGAAACAGGUGCUAAUACCGCAUAAUUCUUUUUGUCGCAUGGCAGAGAGAUAAAAGACGCUUUCGGGUGUCACUAAUGGAUGGACCCGCGCUGCAUUAGUUAGUUGGUAGGGUAACGGCCUACCAAGACCGUGAUGCAUAGCCGACCUGAGAGGGUGAUCGGCCACACUGGGACUGAGACACGGCCCAGACUCCUACGGGAGGCAGCAGUAGGGAAUCUUCGGGCAAUGGACGAAAGUCUGACCGAGCAACGCCGCGUGAGUGAAGAAGGUUUUCGGAUCGUAAAACUCUGUUGUUAGAGAAGAACAAGUGGGAGAGUAACUGUUCCCACCUUGACGGUAUCUAACCAGAAAGCCACGGCUAACUACGUGCCAGCCGCC